GGUGAUUCUCAUGUGUUGCACUCCGGAAUUGGGCUCCCUCCACUUUGGUUCUGGGUGUGUUACCUGAGAAUCACA
Molecule: non-coding RNA, 75 nt
Organism: Myotis brandtii (Brandt's bat)
Lineage: Eukaryota; Metazoa; Chordata; Mammalia; Chiroptera; Vespertilionidae
Source: Rfam